AUUGAACGCUGGCGGCAGGCCUAACACAUGCAAGUCGAGCGGAGCGGCGGACGGGUGAGUAAUGCCUAGGAAUGUGCCUGGUAGUGGGGGAUAACGUCCGGAAACGGGCGCUAAUACCGCUUCCUAUCAGAUGAGCCUAGGUCGGAUUAGCUAGUUGUGGGGGUAAAGGCAUCCCUAGGCGACGAUCCGUAUCUGGUGUGAGAGGAUGAUCAGUCACACUGGGACUGAGACACGGUCCAGACUCCUACGGGAGGCAGCAGUGGGGAAUAUUGGACAAUGGGCGAAAGCCUGAUCCAGCCAUGCCGCGUGUAUGAAGAAGUUCUUCGGAUUGUAAAGCACUUUAAGUUGGGAGGCGUUACCAACAGAAUAAGCACCGGCUAACUUCGUGCCAGCAGCCGCGGUAAUAC
Molecule: ribosomal RNA, 407 nt
Filed under: uncultured bacterium
Lineage: Bacteria
Description: partial 16S ribosomal RNA
Rfam family: Bacterial small subunit ribosomal RNA
Source: RNAcentral